CCACAUUUUACAAAGAGGGAAAAGUUAAAACUAUAACUGGGAAUCUAGACUAUAAACACUUGUGAUCCGAUAUCCAAUUGACUCCAAUAUACUUUAUAAGUUAUACCUGAAAAAUAUUCAACAGAGUGGGAUGAGAUACUAUGAUCUCAAUGAAUUCCUAAAUUCGGGAUAAAACAUAGUAUGCAAAUUAUGAUAAAACUCGGGAUAAAUUGUAGUUAUGUCCUUAGAGUAACUAUUCGUUUAAAGGAAAUACACAUCAACAUUUUAAAAGUAAAUACAAAAUAAAAAAACCAAAACCUUAAUCCUAAAAACCAAACAAAUGUUUCCCACAUAUGGCAAAUGGUCAAGAUUCACAUUUUUUAAUCUCACUUAUUGGAGAAAAAAUAUGUUUGCUAGUGUUCGCUCAGAUCGACUAUAGGUGUCUCUGACAUGACAAGUUAAGGUUUAUCUUGACAAACUAUUUGUGAGGUUAGCAUGAUACUGAAUUUGGUGAUGGUCGUCGUAAGCUCCUUACUCAAAAUAUAGAAUCAACAAAACAGGUCAUUCUAAGGCAUUUCAGUGAACACUUACGGGUACAAACCUAAAACAAACUAAAAAUAACAUAAAAAAGAAAAGAAAAUAAACAUAACAAUAAUAUCAUAAAACCACCAACAAAGACAUCAAAUCUAAAACCAAACAAUGUUGGAGUGGCCAAAACACAAAGAUGCCAUGGUGACUUUGGAGGGGUCUCACUUGGAAGUUGAUUCAGUAAUUGAGGUUGCAAAUUAAUGUAGCGACAAGAUUUAGAUGUAAUGGAUGACGUGAGUAUGAUCAACCAGAGAGGAACUUGUAAUGAUAUGCUGAUGUUGGAUUUAACCAUUAACUAGACAUUGUCGCUCUUCCUCUUCUCUAUUGUCACCGCGUUAAGCAAGACGUAACACAAAAUCGUUGUGGCUGGAGCACCUUGUUAGCAAAAUGAUUUUCAAGAAGAAUUGUUGAAAAUCACGACAAGAAAUUUUUGAGUGACAAAAACUUGUAGAACAAAUGGAAAAAAAGAAGAAAAGAAGAAGCAACUGAAGUACGUGGGAACAAAUACGAGAGCUUGUAGAACCUAUAGAACUUGUCAUGAAACACCUUUCCAUGUUUUCCCAUGUUUGGGUUGAGUUUGGUGGAAGGAAUUAAUACCACAAGAAUGUUGUUCCUAUAACACAAAAAUGAACAUCUAUAACUUGUGGAGCUCAUUAUGGUUUCCCUUACCGCACUGUUCAGUAAACCUUCUGAUGUGCUCCAUAGUUGAUUUUCCAUCUUCCCUUAAGAAUGAAGCAAAGCAUAGAGUUUGAUAACCUAUUGGCAAAUGCACCAAUUUUUUGGUUCAUUUUGGACAUGGCUUCAUACACAUAGUUAGGGCCGUCCCUAGAUAAUUGGAGGCUCGGCUCUCAUAUAAAAAAAGGCCCCUAACAAAAUAAAAAAGAUAUUUUUUUUAAAAGAGUAAUUAUCUAUUUAAAUUGAAAAUAAAAUCCAUCAAGAUUAAGAAAAAAGUGUUUAUUGCAAUUAACACAUAAAAGAUCAAUAUUCUAAUCAAUAAAAUAAAAAUACAAUUUAAGCGAAUAAUUUAUUGUAUAAUAUUUGUUGAGUUUAACUAUCUUAUAGAAUAAGUAUGAGCUAAAAAUUACAAGUGUUCUAACAAAAUAAGAAGAAAAAAAUUUGUAUUAUGUUUUCAUUUGUAAAUAUAUAAUCCAAUAUGUUGAAGAGAAUUUGGCUAAAUUGAUGAGAGGAUAGAUGAACCUCAAAUCUAUAAAAAAAAAUGAUGUCUAAAUCAAAGCUCUCUCAUACUAAAAAUAUUAAUUAAAGAAGCAAAAAGGAAAAGUAAAUAAGAAAACAUAGAACCUGAAUGUUGAACUAGAGACCUAGGCAAUACCAACUUGCAACUAUACCACUAGGCCACUUCCACAAAUAUGAUGUUUAACACUCGCUCUAUAUAUUUAAUAUUUGUUAACUGGGCUAUAAUUUUUUUUAUGAGGCUCAUACCUUGGGGAGGUCCAGCUCCAUUGAGCUGUUUGCACCCCCUAAGGGCCGAGCCUGCAUAUAGUCAUAUCCACAUGUUUCAGUUGUAUCCCAAAAUACCUCUUAAUUGUAUCAGCUAUGAGGUUGAUAUACAACAUUUAUGAUACAUGAUGUCUUACCUCGACUGCAACUAGCUGAUGUGACAUAUUUUCUUGGGGGUUUUGGAAACAUAAGUGGGAUUGAACUUGAAAAGUAUUCUUAUUUAUACUUACUUAUGUGUUUAAAGUCAAGUUUAUGGUAUUAUUUGGAGUUUGAGAAAUAAUUGAGUGGAACUAAAUCACCUUGUACACAAAUGAGUGACCUUGUGAUGUGAGUUCCCAAUUUAUUGAGGACUUGCAACUUAUGGAGCCGAAGAUUCUAACUUGUAACUUCGGUUGAUGAACCCUUGAUUUUUGAACUUUUCUUAUUGAUCUUGAUGUUUGCUGGUUCUACUACUUCCUACCUAAGAAAAUUGCUUUAGGUCAAGAAAUUGUUAGAACAAGAAUGGUUCGUACAAGUCCUCUAGGAUUUUGAUGAUAACAAAGUAUUGAAGAACAAUUGGAAUACUAACAUAUGUUCAAGUGUGCAGAUCUAAGAAUAUAUCUAUCUUGAAGAAAGAACAUAUGAAGAGCAUCAGAAGGAACAAGAGAAGCUUAGAAGACUAUGUUAAAAGAUCUAAAGGAAGGUCAACCAGAAGUCAACGUCCUUAGAAGAAGGAUGCCUUGCAGAACCUGGAGAGUUAUCUCAAUAGAUUACGUGUAGGACAUCAGACACAUAAGGCGACAAGCUUACUUGAAUAUGAGAGACCCAGAAUCCACGUAAGCUUUUGUCUUAUUCUGUGAGUUGUCUCUAUCAUAGUAACUGAUAGAGCAGUUCUUUUGUCUUCUUCUAUGUACGUGUGCAACCAGACAAAAGACCUCAAGAACAAAGAGAAUGCAACAUAUAAUUCUUCUUUCAACAAAAGAAAUUCAAACGGGAUUAUCCAUAUCAAACAAAGGGUCGACAUUCUUUAUCAAAGCUUCUCAACAACUCUAUUUACGCUAGCACUUUUCUCUAACGUCUCUCAAAUCACUGCCUAUAAAGGAGCUGAAGACAUGAAGAAGAAGUAAAAAGACUCUGCUAUUUUUCUGUGUCAAUACUCUGUCAAAUCAAAUAGCACAAAAUACUUAGGUUUUAUUUUUCAAGUUUAUAUCUUAGAAAUCCUAAGGAGUCUAUUCAUUUGUUUAGUUUACACUACCAUUAUUAAAUCAAGUGUAAUAACAAAUUAACUUGUUUUGCAGUUGUGCAAACCUUGAGCACCUUGGAAGUCUCUUGGAGUUGUCCUUGAGCAAGAGAAAGUCUUAAGUAGUUGCGCUUACGCAAAGGGAAGUCUCUUGGAGUUGUCCUUGAGCAGAAGACUUUGGAUAGUGUCCUAGAGCAGGAAUUCUUAAGAAGUUGUGCUUAAGCAUAGAAGUCUCUUACAACUGUACUUGAGCAAAGAGAAGUGUCCUGGAAGUGUCCUUGAGCAAUUUGUAAUCCAGAGUGAUUAUAGUGAAAUCCCUUGGAAGUGCAAUGAGACUGGACUACUCCUGGAUUGUAGGAGGAACCAGUAUAAAAUUGUUUUGUGUCUACUUUCUCUCGUUUCGUCUCUUUAUCUUUGUGUUCUGUACUUAAUCCGCUGCAUUCAGACUCUAUAUCAAAAUCUGUAUACCUCAUAUUCUGAUCAAGUCUUAACACUCAGAAAAAAAAACAUAAAAAGGCAACAUAAUUAAACCCCAUUCUUAUGUUUUUCUCACUUUCAGUUAUGGUUCAAGUAUGGAGCAGUUUGAUGACAUGACAUUUUACCCCAUAUUUUGUUUAGAUUUAUUAAAUAAAU
This 3877-nucleotide long non-coding RNA is filed under the name Medicago truncatula (barrel medic). Its description in RNAcentral is "long non-coding RNA (MTRU_LNC001901)". The record is from RNAcentral. Lineage: Eukaryota; Viridiplantae; Streptophyta; Magnoliopsida; Fabales; Fabaceae.